CAAUACGUAAACAACAUUGCGAAAAGUCAUGUGUGUCGCCGGCGGAUCAAAAUGUUAAAUAUCAAGGAAAGUGAGCAUUAACAUCUGCAAAACAUUGAAGACGUUGACUACAAAUACUAAAAGGAAUUACAAGAAGUAUGUGAAAACAGUUGCCAACACGUAAAAAUAGUGUUUUUAUUGAACAAUCGUCCCAAGUGACACAUGAAUUCUACUGCGCAUGUCAAUACAUUUCAUUCAUAAAUUCAAGCACAGGUGCGUGGAAUUUACUACGAUUUACUACGAUCUACUACAGUUGCUACAAUUGGAUCUUCACAAAAAUACAAGACAUACAGUUGGAUAAUUAUUCAGUGGAUAUUACUAUGAACUGGUAAAUUAUUACAUGAACUUCAACUGGUUUAUCA
RNAcentral lists this long non-coding RNA (401 nucleotides) under Mytilus galloprovincialis (Mediterranean mussel). Lineage: Eukaryota; Metazoa; Mollusca; Bivalvia; Mytilida; Mytilidae. The record is from RNAcentral.